This 873-nucleotide ribosomal RNA is filed under the name Listeria monocytogenes. Its description in RNAcentral is "partial 23S ribosomal RNA". It matches the Rfam family "Bacterial large subunit ribosomal RNA", at positions 660 to 1529 of the family's 2925-position model. The record is from RNAcentral. Lineage: Bacteria; Bacillati; Bacillota; Bacilli; Caryophanales; Listeriaceae.
GCGGAGCCGUAGCGAAAGCGAGUCUGAAUAGGGCGCAUAAGUAACAGGUCGUAGACCCGAAACCAGGUGAUCUACCCAUGUCCAGGAUGAAGGUAAGGUAAUACUUACUGGAGGUCCGAACCCACGCACGUUGAAAAGUGCGGGGAUGAGGUGUGGGUAGCGGAGAAAUUCCAAUCGAACUUGGAGAUAGCUGGUUCUCUCCGAAAUAGCUUUAGGGCUAGCCUCGAGGUAAAGAGUCAUGGAGGUAGAGCACUGUUUGGACUAGGGGCCCUUCUCGGGUUACCGAAUUCAGAUAAACUCCGAAUGCCAUGUACUUAUACUCGGGAGUCAGACUGCGAGUGAUAAGAUCCGUAGUCGAAAGGGAAACAGCCCAGACCACCAGUUAAGGUCCCCAAAUAUAUGUUAAGUGGAAAAGGAUGUGGGGUUGCUUAGACAACCAGGAUGUUGGCUUAGAAGCAGCCACCAUUGAAAGAGUGCGUAAUAGCUCACUGGUCGAGUGACCCCGCGCCGAAAAUGUACCGGGGCUAAACAUAUUACCGAAACUGUGGAUGAACCUCUUUAGAGGUUCGUGGUAGGAGAGCGUUCUAAGGGCGGUGAAGUCAGACCGGAAGGACUGGUGGAGCGCUUAGAAGUGAGAAUGCCGGUAUGAGUAGCGAAAGAAGGGUGAGAAUCCCUUCCACCGAAUAUCUAAGGUUUCCUGAGGAAGGCUCGUCCGCUCAGGGUUAGUCGGGACCUAAGCCGAGGCCGAUAGGCGUAGGCGAUGGACAACAGGUAGAGAUUCCUGUACCAGUGCUAAUUGUUUAACCGAUGGGGUGACACAGAAGGAUAGGGAAUCGCACGAAUGGAAAUGUGCGUCCAAGCAGUGAGUGUGAG